Molecule: transfer RNA, 59 nt
Filed under: Caenorhabditis brenneri
Lineage: Eukaryota; Metazoa; Nematoda; Chromadorea; Rhabditida; Rhabditidae
Description: tRNA CBN34414
Source: RNAcentral
AAAGUUUUGAGUCACAGAAAAGGAGACUACAAAGUUCAAAAUGUUCAAUCCAACCCUUG